Molecule: long non-coding RNA, 492 nt
Organism: Phymastichus coffea
Lineage: Eukaryota; Metazoa; Arthropoda; Insecta; Hymenoptera; Eulophidae
Exons: 3
Source: RefSeq, a predicted model, not a curated record
GGUCAUGCACUAAUAGACAUAGAGAACAUUAUUACAUUCAUAGCAAAAAGAAACUUAUUUAUAGUUAAAAAAAAUUGAAUUUUAUUUGGAGCACAACACAACAGUAAAUAUUAUACUUUCUAUUUACAUGUUUAUCAGUGAAUUCUUGCAGCACAUCUUUAAUUUAGUUGAUUAAAAUUGGAGAAAGUCGAGAUCUUAGAGGAAAAGAAAUACAUUAUUUUAGUCGUGUGAAAUCAGCCAUAGAACUGAGAAGAAUGGGAAUGGCGACGAAAAAGGCGGAAGGGUCGAAAAUAGAAGCGACGAACGAGAGCAAAACAGAUCGAGUGAGGAGAGAGAAAGGAGAAAGAGAGGAUAGAAUGCAUGGAAAAUCAUUAGUUAGACCUUCUAUUUUGCCAUGCCAUCAACAGAUUAUAUGAAAAGUAUAAGGUAAAGCCAUGGACUUGAGAUGCAGCAAGAAUAAAACCAUACCAUAAAACACCAUAUGGGUAGCCC